Molecule: ribosomal RNA, 140 nt
Filed under: Phycisphaerales bacterium
Lineage: Bacteria; Pseudomonadati; Planctomycetota; Phycisphaerae; Phycisphaerales
Description: partial 16S ribosomal RNA
Rfam family: Bacterial small subunit ribosomal RNA
Source: RNAcentral
UCAACCUGAGAGUUUGAUUCUGGCUCAGAACGAACGCUGGCGGCAGGCUUAACACAUGCAAGUCGAACGCCCCGCAAGGGGAGUGGCAGACGGGUGAGUAACACGUGGGAACGUGCCCUAAGGUUUGGAAUAUUCCCGGG